This 437-nucleotide ribosomal RNA is filed under the name uncultured bacterium. Its description in RNAcentral is "partial 16S ribosomal RNA". It matches the Rfam family "Bacterial small subunit ribosomal RNA", at positions 339 to 795 of the family's 1533-position model. The record is from RNAcentral.
CUACGGGCGGCUCCAGUGGGGAAUAUUGCACAAUGGAGGAAACUCUGAUGCAGCAACGCCGCGUGGAGGAUGACACUUUUCGGAGCGUAAACUCCUUUUAUAUAGGAAGAAGAUGACGGUACUAUAUGAAUAAGCGCCGGCUAACUCCGUGCCAGCAGCCGCGGUAAUACGGAGGGCGCAAGCGUUACUCGGAAUCACUGGGCGUAAAGAGCGUGUAGGCGGAUUAAAAAGUCAGAAGUGAAAUCCUAUAGCUUAACUAUAGAACUGCUUCUGAAACUCUUAAUCUAGAAUAUGGGAGAGGUAGAUGGAAUUUCUGGUGUAGGGGUAAAAUCCGUAGAGAUCAGAAGGAAUACCGAUUGCGAAGGCGAUCUACUAGAACAUUAUUGACGCUGAGACGCGAAAGCGUGGGGAGCAAACAGGAUUAGAUACCGGUAGUC